RNAcentral lists this ribosomal RNA (506 nucleotides) under Epilobocera sinuatifrons. Its description in RNAcentral is "partial large subunit ribosomal RNA". It matches the Rfam family "Archaeal large subunit ribosomal RNA", at positions 1950 to 2680 of the family's 2987-position model. Lineage: Eukaryota; Metazoa; Arthropoda; Malacostraca; Decapoda; Pseudothelphusidae. The record is from RNAcentral.
CCUGCCCACUGAUAAUUUUAAGGGCCGCGGUAUUAUGACCGUGCAAAGGUAGCAUAAUAAUUAGUCUUUUAAUUGAAGGCUCGUAUGAAUGGUUGGACAAAAGGAAUACUGUCUCUAUUUUAUUACUUGAAAUUAACUUUUAAGUGAAAAGGCUUAAAUAUAUCAGAGGGACGAUAAGACCCUAUAAAGCUUUAUAAAUAUUGUGUUUUUAAUUGAAUUUAUUAUAAUAAUCAAAAAUACUUUCUUUUAUUAGGUUGGGGCGACAAAGGUAUAAUUAAUUUUUAACUGCUUUAUAAAAAUACAUAAAAUAAAUGAUUUGUCUGUAAACGAUCCUUUAUAUUGAGAUUUAAAGAUUAAGUUACUUUAGGGAUAACAGCGUUAUUUUCUUUGAGAGUUCAUAUCGAAAAGAAAGCUUGCGACCUCGAUGUUGAAUUAAAUUUUCUAUAUGGCGCAGCAGCUAUAUAAGAAGGUCUGUUCGACCUUUAAAAUUUUACGUGAUCUGAGUU